UCAUCCUCAUCGUCGAGUGAAUCUUUUCGUUCUGCAAAAGCACGAGGGAUACGAGCCACAAUUUUAGGAAUUUCAUAAAAAGUGCCUUUUGAAUCGUAUACACCCUUACUAAUAUCGUUUUCUGGAAUCGUCAAAUCCGCCGCCAAUGCCAUUUCGGUAGCCGCUUCAGCAUUUCCUUCGUACAAUAAAGUCACUACUUUGUGCAAAACAUCCCAUAUUUCUUUUGAGCCACCAUAAGCCCAGCAGGUUUCCCAAAACUCAUUUCGACGUACCUCGACUUCUUCUUUUGUCAGCAGAGGAUUGGGUGUGUACAGUUUGGGCAAUCGCAAAAUAUUGCUACCAGAUGGCUGCUCACCGCCAUUAUUUGCAACUCCUGCAACCUGAUUUCCGGAGAGACAUUGACCCAUCCUGUUUUACUUGAAUAACGUUUCUCCCUUGAUUUCUCGAGAUUGUGCUGUUGUAACACGUUUGGAUAAGGGAUUGUUGCAUACGGAAGAUAAAGUGACUUGGAAACAAAGCAUUAACAAAACAGCAAAGAAAGUAACGCUUUUGCGCUAUAAUAGAAAUAAAUUAAUUACCUUCGUUUUUUAUAUAAUAGACUUGAUGUAUAUUCAAAUAUUGUAAUCUAGUACAAUGUCUGUACACCAAGAUUGAGAAAAUUAAUAAUAUAUAUACCUAUGUAUAAUUAAUUAAUUAUCAUUUAUCAAUAAUAAAACAUCUUACACUGCGAGCUGCAUUCAGAUUGAACAAAUAAGGCGGAUAUUUUCUUUGGAAUUUGUAUUAAAGCAUCUACAAUUUUAGUCUCUAUUUUGGCAGUUCUCAAUCUUAUUAAUAAACAAUAUUUCAACUCAGUAUACGAUUCAGAUAUGGCUUGGACUCACCUUGUUAAGGAGCAUAAUGGGUAUCUUGUUCCCAGUGAUAAAAAAAGAUAUUUGUCAUUAGUAAAAGAAGUUUCUACUCGUUUCAUUUCAUUUGAUUGUGUUUCCGAUAUUUGAAUUACUCUAUUCAGAUCCUAUUUGGUAUUAGAGAGUAAUAAUCGAUAAUUCUCGAAACCAAUUUUUAAAUUAUAUUCCUGCUUUUAGCUCAAAUAUUUCGUAAAUCAUUGUUCAUUCAGCAGACAACUCAGAGACUCACGGGUAUUACAUGCUUUAAAUAUUUGGCAAAACGCGGUUCGACUAAAAAUUGUUAAUACAACAACACCUAAGGAAAGGAAGAGAGCAUACCAAAUAAUCCAUCCGCUAUUGCGACACACGUAGAUUUUGAAGGGUCCUCAUUGUCCAACAUAUAAGCAGUACCAUGGGUUUGAGCCUUUCGGCCCUUAGUCCAUUCAAGAUGGGAGCGCAAAAUAUAGAAAUGGUUUGUGUAUGCUUUUGUAGGAUUUGAAAGUUUCAGAUUGGCAGUUACUGCAAUUUUGUUGGGCAAACUCAGGAAGCUCUGUAAUUCAAAUAUUAGCUUGAUUAAAAUAGUUUUGUAAUAACUUACACAUAUAGCUAGAACUUCGUCCAUACAUCUGAAAUAUGCUGUAAAUAAU
Schizosaccharomyces pombe (fission yeast) is the source of this 1531-nucleotide non-coding RNA. The record is from the annotation of a GenBank genome assembly. NCBI's taxonomy places the organism in Eukaryota, Fungi, Ascomycota, Schizosaccharomycetes, Schizosaccharomycetales, Schizosaccharomycetaceae.